UGGGGAAUUUUGGACAAUGGGCGAAAGCCUGAUCCAGCAAUGCCGCGUGUGUGAAGAAGGCCUUCGGGUUGUAAAGCACUUUUGUCCGGAAAGAAAUGGCUCUGGUUAAUACCUGGGGUCGAUGACGGUACCGGAAGAAUAAGGACCGGCUAACUACGUGCCAGCAGCCGCGGUAAUACGUAGGGUCCAAGCGUUAAUCGGAAUUACUGGGCGUAAAGCGUGCGCAGGCGGUUGUGCAAGACCGAUGUGAAAUCCCCGAGCUUUACUUGGGAAUUGCUUUGGUGACUGCACGGCUAGAGUGUGUCAGAGGGGGGUAGAAUUCCACGUGUAGCAGUGAAAUGCGUAGAGAUGUGGAGGAAUACCGAUGGCGAAGGCAGCCCCCUGGGAUAACACUGACGCUCAUGCACGAAAGCGUGGGGAGCAAACAGG
RNAcentral lists this ribosomal RNA (429 nucleotides) under bacterium. Its description in RNAcentral is "partial 16S ribosomal RNA". It matches the Rfam family "Bacterial small subunit ribosomal RNA", at positions 355 to 776 of the family's 1533-position model. The record is from RNAcentral.